RNAcentral lists this long non-coding RNA (4356 nucleotides) under Paramuricea clavata. The record is from RNAcentral. Lineage: Eukaryota; Metazoa; Cnidaria; Anthozoa; Malacalcyonacea; Plexauridae.
CAUAUUUUUCAAGCCUUCUUUCUGAAUUUAUGGUUCGAAAAAUUCGCUUUUUUUAAGCGACGACGAAUGAUUUAAACGAAGAGGAAACAGCGGGCAUAACUGAAUAACAUUCAGGUAAGCAUAUUGUUAUGUUAUAUGUAUAAUGGAGCAGUUUUGAAAGUAAAUAUUCGCUAUCUUCAUUCAUGAAUUUUGAGCAUGUGUUCAUGUUUAAAAUUUGAAUUUGCCGCGACAAUAUUUGAAUUAAAAAGAUGAUAUAUUAGUUUUAUAGAAGGCUUACAUUUGACUUUAUAUUAAAUUAUGUUUAUUGUAUAAAGGGCAACUAAUAUUUGUGUAUAUGAAUAUAUGACAGACUACCAGAUAACAAUGUUUCUGGUAUAAAGUAUAAAUAUAGCUUGGCAUCUACUCAAUCAUCAUAUGCUCAACUACACAUGUCCCAGCUAAACAUGGUUUGAGAAAAUAUAACCACUUGUUUCAAAUCAACUGCUACUUUCAUAAGUUUCUAAUUUUUAUAUAUCUAGGUUUUUUAUGUCCAAAUUCUUCAAUCAAUGAAAAAAUCUAUUUCACUGUUAGAGGUGUUAUGCACCAGUCAAUGAAAACCUAUACAACUCAGCCCCCCCACCCCACCCCCCGAAUAUAAGCCCAGUAGCCCACUACGUUAUUCAACAUUGACAUUGUCUUUUAAUUAACCCAUUAAGCUGCGGAACUUCCCCAUUGACAAGUAAAAUUGUCUGGCAUAAGACAAGUAAAAAAAUAAGUAAGGCACACUGGGGCGCAUUGCGGCUUGAUGGGUUUACCAGAGACAUUGUCAAAUUUUUUGGUCAACCCAUUAAGCUGCAGAGUUUCCCCAUUGACAAGUAAAAUUUGGCGUUAGACAAGUGAAAAAAAAGUAGAGCACGCUGGGGCGCAUUGUGGCUCAAUGGGUUAAUAUAUCAGAGAACAAUAUUUAAAAACAUUGUCUUUAUAGCUUAAGUCAACGACAAAACGUCGUUAAUUAAUCAAAGUGCAUUAUUACUAUGUGUUUAUUUUCCUGUUUAUGACUGACUUGUUUAUUAUACUAACACAAAAGAUUGAAUGUCCAUGUAUAAGCUCUAUCCCUCCUAUAUACUGUAACCCCCCCCCCUUUGUAUAAGCCCACCAAAUAUAUAGCCCAGGGUUUAUAGUCCGAGAUUUACGGUAUUCCAUGAACCCAUUAAGAUGUGAUGUUGUGAUGGAUUAACAGACUGUGUGUGCAUGUCUCAACUACCAUUAGCACUUACAUACCCUAAUUUAACCCAUUAAGCUGCAGAGCUUCCCCGCGUUUUCCCCGUUUCCUAGGAUACGAGGCCUCAUCACGAUUUAUGAAUAAGGUCUAUAGUACUCUGAUUUUCCAUUUAACAUACGAGCCUCUAGUUCUGGGAUAGGGUACAUUUUGAUUUACGUUGGACAAAGCUACAGUUCGGUCGGACACAAAUACACUCAGGUCGGACAAACAAUAAACCUCAAUUUCACUUUGGUCGGACAGAAUGUCUGGUGGUUUCCUCUCUACGUCAGACAAUUUCACUAAUGGGUCGGACAAUGUCCAUGACCGACCGAUAUUUUAAGGCCUGCAUAGCCGGAUUAACCCUAACCCGUAGUUAAAAUUUAUGUAUUUCUACGUACAGUAUCUUUUUGUUUUAAAAUUAUGAAAAGAAAACUUCUAUGGUACUGAUCCAGACAAGAUGUCUAAAGAAAUAUUUCCAAAUUUAUAAACAAACUGUUAGGAAGUUUGCUUUUAAAAUCUAAGGUUAACUUAUCGGCUUUUGAACAAUCAACCCCUGCAUAGGGGUGCACCAGAACCAGUUUUUUAAGUUCCGGCCGGAACCGGAUCUGACCGGAACUGGAAAAAAGUUCCGGCCGGAACCGGAACUAAUUUAUUAAACCAUAUAUAGUCAUAUUUUACUUUGUCCGCUGCCAGACAGGCAGACACUUCAAGUCAUAAAGGAGAGAGCUCGCAAAUGUUAGAAUAAAAAGAUUGACAAGCGUUAAACGUCAUAAUGAAGUGUUAGUAGUGUACAUUUCCCUUGCGUAGUCCAAAUUUCUUCCUACUGUGACCUUUUGUUAGACACAAAAACGUUUGAUAUUCUAUCUCUCUGAAAACCACAGAGUUGUGGUUCCGGCCAUGCUUUUUUUACUAGUUCCGGCCGGAACCGGAACUCUAAAAAAUCGGGUUCCGGCCGGAACUGACCGGCCGGAACCGAGUUCCGGUGCACCCCUACCCCUGCAUGGUGAUUUUGUUUGUCAAUGGGGAGUGUGUUGGACUUAAAAGGUUUUAACCUUUCAUUGAAACUAGAUUGUCUGCCCGCAUUUUGUGUUAACACAUUAUUAAGAUAAAAGCCAGACUGCUUUCAGUACUUCAUGAUUUUACUAUCAUCACAUUUCAUAUUUAACCCUUUUAGAUGCAAAGGACAUUUUAGUCAUCCAGAGGGGGAGGGAGUCUAAGAGUAGAAUCUUCUGAGACUGAUAAUAGUAAGAUGUACUAAGACAUCAAUGGAAUGGGGGGGGGGGUUAAAUUCCAAGUUUCUUUGUAUGUCAUGCUUGAAGUUUUCAAGGAUGGAUAGAUCGGCUUAGAUAAAAAUGUCAAUUUGAUGUUUUGUGUGGCAACUUGAAUAUGGACAUCUCCCUAAUUGGAAACAGUUAAAGUCCUUAGUUUGUUUGUUUGUUCAAACUGAUGAAUACAUUUAGCUAGCUACACCACCCACAUGAUCUGCUUAGUAAUAUAUGUAAUGUAACAACCCAAUUCACUCCAAUUAACCCAGUUUUCAGCACUUUCUUAAAUUAUGUCACCUUUCCUAAUGCCGGACAAAUUAAUUUGUGUGUAGCUAGAUUUUACCCAUGUUUCAUGUUGACAUAUUUAGAUGCAAUUUUCCCUAACACUCCCUACUUUAAGUACUUUAAUAUUGAACUGUGACGUCUUAUGCUAGACAAUUUUACUUAUCGACUGCAUGGACUCAUUUCACCUAUUAACACAGAAGAAACAAUUUCCUCUUAAAUGUUGCCUAUUUUCGGUUCUUUCUAGGGGUGUGCAGGACAGAGUAUUUCUGCUAUCCAGCUAGAUACACUAUGCUGGAUGGCUGAAAAAUAUCCAGCCCGAUUAAGGGUAUUAUUCAAAUAAUUAUAUAAGGUUCAGGCAUCAUUUAAGGUUAAGUACUGGUAAUAAUUUUAUUUGGUUAAAAAGUAAACGGUCUAAAACUAGUAAACCUGCAUCAUUGGUAGCAAACAUGCAUCAUUGGUAGUAAUUAAAAGACUUGUUUACAUCAGUUAAAAGUUCAAAUCCCCAUUUACUGUACAAACAAGCAUUGAAAAUACUGAUCAUAUUUAUCAUAUUUUUACUUCAAUGAUCAUGAUAUGAUAACCUUAUCAAAUCAUUUUCUAACCUGAAAAGAAGGCCUGAACCCUAUAUGAAUAAUAUCCGGCAUUGGGUAGCCGAAUACCAGAUAAUGAAUUAAAAUCUUAAUAUCCGGCCAGAUACAGUAUCAGUCCAUUGCAUCCUAUGUCUUGAAAUGCCAAACAAAUUAACUUGUUAAAUGACUGUAUAUUGAUAUUCAAUAUACUUAGCUAAUAUAUGCACCCUUUUAUUGUUAACCCUUUGAGCAGCAAUGUGCCCAAGUGCACCCUACUUUGUUAUGUUGCACUUAACUAACACCAGACAUUUUACUUUGUGAAAUGCCAGACAAUUUUACUCCUCAAGAGCAGUGUCCUGCUCACUAAUGGUUAUCCAAACUAUCUGCCAAUGUGCCUUGAUAACCCAUUAGGCCGAAAUGCACCCAAAUGGACCCGCCUUUGUUAUUUUACUCUGUCAAACGCCAGACAAUUUUAGUCAUCAAGAAGAGAGUCCUGCGUGCUAGUGGGUUAAAUGACUUAAUUACAUAUGUUAUAUAUAAACUUAAGCUGUUAGAUUGUCCCAUUGUAUAUUAAUUUUUUACUUAUCUUGACACAGGCUUGUAUGUUGGAUUGAUACGACUACCUGUAAAUAUGGUUAAACUUGGCUAUGUGAUUCAAAGGUUGUGGUUCACCGAGCGAUAAAGAAAAUGAUACAAAGAUGGAAUGAUUGGAUGCAAGUUAUUUACAGUGUUUCAUAUGACAGGUAUUCUGAUUGUGGAAGAUGUGGGCUUGCAAUAUUUUGACAAUUGCAUGGCUAUAAAGUACGAGACAAUUAAUAUAGUACUCCAUUACUCUAAUUGCCAGAACACUGCAUCAGAAUGAGAAGUUGUCUGUUACAGUUCGGUUUAGUAAAAGUACAUAGUAAAAGUACAUAGUCAACUAUGUAAAAUGUAAUUUAGUCAGUGUCAAAUAAAUAUUUUGUCAUGGAUAAACUCUGUGCAAAUGAGCAUGUCUCUA